Transfer RNA from Ceratocystis platani, 82 nucleotides. It matches the Rfam family "tRNA". From Rfam's summary of the family: Transfer RNA (tRNA) molecules are approximately 80 nucleotides in length. Their secondary structure includes four short double-helical elements and three loops (D, anti-codon, and T loops). Lineage: Eukaryota; Fungi; Ascomycota; Sordariomycetes; Microascales; Ceratocystidaceae. The record is from Rfam.
GCAUCCGUGGCCGAGUGGUCUAAGGCGACUGACUCAAGUUCAGUUCUCUUCGGAGGCGUGGGUUCGAAUCCCACCGGAUGCA